ACAUUUUUAUUUUUAAUUUCAUAAAAGAAUAUUGAAGGGCUUGGAGAAAGGCCAAUUUCUACAACUUUUGGGAUUUUCAUCUUUGAAAGUAAGAUUUAUUUAUAUUCUAAACUUGAAUUUCUACUUUAAAUUCUUAGAAAUUGCAAGAACCAUGAUCUUAAUAAGAACUAGAGUUUAGCCCUAAUUUAUGAGUUGGUGAGAAUUGGUGGAAAUUUAGUUUUAAUGAAUUUUUUAUUAAUUCUAAGGUGUUGAAAAAUACUUCGUAUGGUAGAAUUCUUGUUGAUAAUGUUAAAUCAUAUGAAGUUCAUGAGGUUUAAAUGAUAGAAAAUCCUAAGAUGAUGAACUAGAAAAAUUUCUUAGGUUAAGUUAGUAAAUAUAAGUUUGUAAUGGUUGAAAAAGAUAUAAUGUUGAAUUAAGAAUUGUGUAAUUGUUGUUUAUAGAUCAAGAAGGGACUGUUAUUGAAAGGUAGGACAAGUUUUUGUCUAUAUAGUAUUUACAAGCAAUGAAUCAAGUUAGAUUAUGAUUUCAUUGUAUUAAAGAUUUGCUUGACUUUGUACUAAUAUGUGAAUUGAGUGUUUGUAAUUUACUUUCGGGCAUUAAUUAUGAUUAGUAAUUACAUUAUGCAAAUACAUCUGAUAUUGAGAUGAUAUUGAACAUGAAAUUGAAAUGAUGUUGAGAUGAUAUUGUGAAUGAUAUUGUGAUGUUAUUGAUAUUAAGAUGAUAUUGAUGAUGAUGCUGUGAUAAUAUUGAGACAAUACGUUCCUUUUGAAUGCAUGUACUCAUCCCAUUCAUUGCAUGUAUAUAUAAAUUUAUGCUUUGUGGUGAACUUUAUUGAAGAAUCUGUCUAUGUGUAAUUUAAGUAUGAGAUGUAAUGUUAUAUCUAUACUUAGUUGUCAUUGAUGGUAAGUUGUAUUUUGAUAGUUAUUACUUGUAUUUGAUUCGCCUAGUUGCAUAGUGUUGAGUUGAGAUGGUCGAUUAUGCCUAUCAGUCCUUUAUUGUUGUACUGAUACUACCUAUACUCUUCUUUUUGUUGAGUGUAGAGCGUGUCCUAGCACUUAGUUGUCAUUGAUGGUAUGUUGUGUUUUGAUCGUUGUUACUAGUGUUGAGUUGAGUCGGUUGAUUAUGCCUAUCAAUACUUUGUUGUUGUACUGAUACUACCUGUACUUUUCUUUUUGUUGAGUGUAGAGCGUGUCCCAACAGUUGAGAUAAGACCUCAACUCUAGCAAGUGAUUUCAGACUUUGAUUCAAGGUUGAGCAUCAUGACUUAACAGUUGUUGGAUCUUUCUUAUGUCAUUUAUUUUCUUUGUUCAGGAAUAAGACUAUUCCUUAGUUCAUAUUUUUGGAUAACUUGUUAUACUUAGUUUUUAGAAUUGUUUGAUGUUAUUGUACCACGACGUCAGGUUUUGGGGAUGUAAUAAUUAGAUAUGUUCCACACUUUGAUUCUUGGUUAUGAUUAUUGAUUAAGUUACGUUGUAUUUGAGUUGGUUAUUAUUGUGUUUCAGUGAUUUAAAGAUAAGAAACCUAUGAAAGAGACUUGUG
This 1539-nucleotide long non-coding RNA is filed under the name Capsicum annuum. RNAcentral describes it as "long non-coding RNA (CANN_LNC002974)". The record is from RNAcentral. Lineage: Eukaryota; Viridiplantae; Streptophyta; Magnoliopsida; Solanales; Solanaceae.